This 345-nucleotide ribosomal RNA is filed under the name Anaplasma marginale. RNAcentral's name for it is "bacterial SSU rRNA". It matches the Rfam family "Bacterial small subunit ribosomal RNA", at positions 1003 to 1351 of the family's 1533-position model. The record is from RNAcentral. Lineage: Bacteria; Pseudomonadati; Pseudomonadota; Alphaproteobacteria; Rickettsiales; Anaplasmataceae.
GGAAGGGCGCAGUUCGGCUGGGCCUCGCACAGGUGCUGCAUGGCUGUCGUCAGCUCGUGUCGUGAGAUGUUGGGUUAAGUCCCGCAACGAGCGCAACCCUCAUCCUUAGUAACCAGCGGGUAAUCCCGGGCACUUUAAGGAAACUGCCAGUGAUAAUCUGGAGGAAGGUGCGGAUGAUGUCAAGUCAGCACCGCCCUUAUGGGGUGGGCUACACACGUGCUACAAUGGCGACUACAAUAGGUUGCAACGUCGCAAGGCUGAGCUAAUCCGUAAAAGUCGUCUCACUUCGGAUUGUCCUCUGUAACUCGAGGGCAUGAAGUCGGAAUCGCUAGUAAUCGUGGAUCA